RNAcentral lists this ribosomal RNA (367 nucleotides) under uncultured bacterium. RNAcentral's name for it is "partial 16S ribosomal RNA". It matches the Rfam family "Bacterial small subunit ribosomal RNA", at positions 338 to 722 of the family's 1533-position model. The record is from RNAcentral.
CCUACGGGUGGCAGCAGUGGGGAAUAUUGCACAAUGGGCGAAACCCUGAUGCAGCAACGCCGCGUGAGUGAUGACGGCCCUCGGGUUGUAAAGCUCCUUCUUUAGGGACGUUAAUGACGGUACCUGUGGAGGUAUCCACGUCUAACUACGUGCCAGCAGCCGCGGUAAUACGUAGGUGGCGAGCGUUGUCCGGAUUUACUGGGCGUAAAGGGAGCGUAGGCGGACUUUUAAGUGAGAUGUGAAAUACUCGGGCUCAACUUGAGUGCUGCAUUUGAAACUGUAAGUCUAGAGUGCAGGAGAGGAGAAUGGAAUUCGGAGUGUAGCGGUGAAAUGCGUAGAGAUUAGGAAGAACACCAGUGGCGAAGGC